AGAGCGAACGCUGGCGGCAGGCCUAACACAUGCAAGUCGAGCGGCCGUAGCAAUACGGCAGCGGCAGACGGGAGAGUAACACGUGGGAACGCGCCCUUCGGUUCGGAAUAACUCAGGGAAACUUGGGCUAAUACCGGAUACGCCCUUACGGGGAAAGAUUUAUUGCCGAAGGAACGGCCCGCGUCCGAUUAGCUUGUUGGUGAGGUAACGGCUCACCAAGGCGACGAUCGGUAGCUGGUCUGAGAGGAUGACCAGCCUCACUGGGACUGAGACACGGCCCAGACUCCUACGGGAGGCAGCAGUGGGGAAUAUUGGACAAUGGGCGCAAGCCUGAUCCAGCCAUGCCGCGUGGGUGAUGAAGGCCCUAGGGUUGUAAAGCUCUUUUGUGCGGGAAGAUAAUGACGGUACCGCAAGAAUAAGCCCCGGCUAACUUCGCGCCAGCAGCCGC
RNAcentral lists this ribosomal RNA (448 nucleotides) under uncultured bacterium. RNAcentral's name for it is "SSU rRNA". It matches the Rfam family "Bacterial small subunit ribosomal RNA", at positions 26 to 518 of the family's 1533-position model. The record is from RNAcentral.